RNAcentral lists this ribosomal RNA (448 nucleotides) under uncultured bacterium. RNAcentral describes it as "bacterial SSU rRNA". It matches the Rfam family "Bacterial small subunit ribosomal RNA", at positions 330 to 793 of the family's 1533-position model. The record is from RNAcentral.
UCCAGACUCCUACGGGAGGCAGCAGUGGGGGAUAUUGCACAAUGGGGGGAACCCUGAUGCAGCGACGCCGCGUGGGUGAAGGAGCGUUUCGGCGCGUAAAGCCCUAUCGGCAGGGAAGAAGGAGGACGGUACCUGACUAAGAAGCCCCGGCUAACUACGUGCCAGCAGCCGCGGUAAUACGUAGGGGGCAAGCGUUAUCCGGAUUUACUGGGUGUAAAGGGAGCGUAGACGGCUGUGCAAGUCUGAAGUGAAAGCCCAGGGCUCAACCCUGGGACUGCUUUGGAAACUGUGGAGCUAGAGUGCUGGAGAGGUAAGUGGAAUUCCUAGUGUAGCGGUGAAAUGCGUAGAUAUUAGGAGGAACACCAGUGGCGAAGGCGGCUUACUGGACUGUAACUGACGUUGAGGCUCGAAAGCGUGGGGAGCAAACAGGAUUAGAUACCCUUGUACG